GAUGAACGCUGGCGGCGUGCCUAACACAUGCAAGUCGAGCGAAGAUAUGAGAAGUACUUGUACAGAUCGUAUUUUAGCGGCGGACGGGUGAGUAACACGUGAGUAACCUGCCUUUUACUGGGGAAUAACAUCGAGAAAUCGGUGCUAAUACCGCAUAAUGUCACGAGAUCGCAUGGUAUUGUGACCAAAGGAGUAAUUCGGUAAAAGAUGGACUCGCGUCCGAUUAGAUAGUUGGUGAGGUAAUGGCUCACCAAGUCUACGAUCGGUAGCCGAACUGAGAGGUUGAUCGGCCACAUUGGGACUGAGACACGGCCCAGACUCCUACGGGAGGCAGCAGUGGGGAAUAUUGGGCAAUGGGCGAAAGCCUGACCCAGCAACGCCGCGUGAAGGAAGAAGGUCUUCGGAUUGUAAACUUCUUUGAUCAGGGACGAACAAAAUGACGGUACCUGAAGAACAAG
RNAcentral lists this ribosomal RNA (458 nucleotides) under uncultured bacterium. Its description in RNAcentral is "bacterial SSU rRNA". It matches the Rfam family "Bacterial small subunit ribosomal RNA", at positions 28 to 490 of the family's 1533-position model. The record is from RNAcentral.